This 253-nucleotide ribosomal RNA is filed under the name uncultured bacterium. RNAcentral describes it as "partial 16S ribosomal RNA". It matches the Rfam family "Bacterial small subunit ribosomal RNA", at positions 524 to 776 of the family's 1533-position model. The record is from RNAcentral.
UACGAAGGGGGCUAGCGUUGCUCGGAAUCACUGGGCGUAAAGCGCACGUAGGCGGAUUGUUAAGUCAGGGGUGAAAUCCUGGAGCUCAACUCCAGAACUGCCUUUGAUACUGGCGAUCUCGAGUCCGGGAGAGGUGAGUGGAACUGCGAGUGUAGAGGUGAAAUUCGUAGAUAUUCGCAAGAACACCAGUGGCGAAGGCGGCUCACUGGGACGUUACUGACGCUGAGACGCGAAAGCGUGGGGAGCAAACAGG